CGCCCCCAUCCUCCUGACCUCCUCCCUCUUCUUUUCUUUUCUUUCUCCUUUCCUCCUCUUCUCCCUCUCCCUCUUUUUAUCUUUCCGCACCUUGGGGAUGAAAAGGAUGCCAGCCUUGAUAUUGUCAGAUGACUUGCUUUAUUUAAAAGAACAAAUAGAAGUUGAGAAGGAUACUAUGCAUUUUUUUUGAAUUAACAGAGAAUUAGACAUUUGCUACAUUCAAGAUAUCUUUUUGGAGUUGAAUGCAUCACCUGGCAUCUCAUUUUGUUCUUCUAAUGGAUCUAAGUUCCUUUACUUUCUUUUACUUGUCCAUGAUAAAGUUACAAAUUUAACAGAUUCCGUACCUACAUUAUCAUCCUUGCUUCUCGUGUUGAGUCCAAACCAAAGAGUAGGAUCAAGUAAUAUUGUUUAUUCUAUACUUAUUAAGAUUGAAAUCAGAUCGGAUAUUAAUGUAUCCAUAUCUAUAUUUAUUUUAUCUGACGAAUAUAAUACGAAUAUGGAUAUUAUUCGGAUGAAAAAAUUCAUAUCCAUAUUUAUUUUAAAUAGAUACGAAUGCAAUUCAAAUACUGAAAGUAUGGAUAUAAUUACAGAUAUAGUUUAGAUAAUUAAAUUUUAUAACUACAGAAUCAAAAAUAUUACUAAAUAUAUGAUAAAUCAAAUUAAUAAUAUAUUUAUAUGUUAUAUAUAUUUUUAAAAAAAUAAUAAGUGAUAUAUAAAAUUAUAUAGGAUUAUAUGUAGAUUCGGAUAUUCGAAUAUGGAUUGGAUAGUUAUUUAUCCAUAUCUAUAUCUAUUGAAAACAGAUUCUAACAGAUAAUAUCCGUACCACUUUCAUCCCUAAUGCUUAUUAAAUACUACUGGGUUUUGUAUUCUAUUGUGAAAUCAUCUUGGUAUUCUUUUUAUGGAUGGAUAGCAAGGUCUCUUAAAGAAUAUUAUUGAAAUCAAACUAAAACGACAUAGAGUAUCAAGCUUUUUAGAUCCGAUGUCAUAGGGUGACAGAUCAAGCCCAUCUUCAUUUAUAAAUUAAAGUUCCAUCACUCAGGGAUGGUAAAUAAAUUUUGGAGAAAUACCCAUCUCCUAUAAAAAAAAUUAUUCAAAAAUAAAUUUUUGUCUUUGACAAAUGAAAUUGCAACAUAGGGACCUGAAAACUAGCUAUAAGAAGGUUCGUCCUUGUGGAAACUUAAUGGAAAAGAGACGGAUGUUAAAUCUGAUAAUGCAAUUAGAAGCUUAUUAGGCUAAACUUAUGAGAGCUCAGAUGGUGAAUGAUUAGGAUAACAAAAAUAGUAUAAUUAUAUUUGUUAAUCUUUUUCCCCUCCCUCUUGUCUAUAUGAUUUUUUCGUCUAUUAAAAGAGAGAUGAAUUGACGAUGCUAUGGGUGCAGAAGAUGGAGCUUUUCUCAUCGGUAUGGACCAAAAGCACUUGCCUUUUUAAUUCUUGUUUCCAAUUGGCUAGUAUUUGUGGAAAAAGGGAGAGGAAGAAAAAGAGAAAAAAAAGAGGAGAAAGAAGAGGAAGAGAAAGAAGGAGGAGAGGAGGAAAUAGGCAGUGUUAACAAGGAGGAUGAGGGUGAGGGAAUGGAGGUGGCCAGUGACAACAAUGGUGAAAGGCCGACUGCCAGCAGAGGUUGCGUGGUUGUUUCAGAGAGAAAGAUUAAAAGAUUAGAUAGAGUUAAGAUUUAGAGUUCGAAGAUGGAUUUUAUUUAUAAUGGUGAUUGUGACGAUGGAUUCAAUUGUCAUCAAUUAUAGCCAUAUCAAUUGAUAGAUAAGCAUGGUCAAUGAGCAUGAUCUUAAUUAGGAGGGGGUUGUAUAAUAUUGCAACAAUCUGAAAAAUAUAGAGCCAAUAUUAUAGUAGUGGAACAUAUAUAGAGAUAUUUAUAAAUUCAUGUAAAAUAUAAAAGAUUAUUUUAUUUAUUUGUUUGAUGAGACCUCUGGUUUCGUAGUUGCAUAUACGUANNNNNNNNNNNNNNNNNNNNUUUUUUAGAUUAUUAUAAUAUUAUACAUUAUCCUCUUAAUUGUUGCUGGAGCUAGUUUAUUGAUGGUGCUUAUUUGUUAGCUGAUAAAGAUGUAGAUUGCAAAAAAUAUCUACUUGUCAUUUGAUGUAAAGAGAAAUGCAUGCACCAACUGAUAUGGAAGAAUUAUGUGAUGAUUAGAUCUAUCAUCCCUAUUAUUUUCUUAAAUAAAACUCAUCCUCAAAUCCUAACCCUAAUUUCAUCCCUUUCUUCAUCCCUCAUCGAGAUGGCCCCCAUAGCAUCUGUCAGUGGCCCUCUUAAACCAACACCAUCCCAUCCCUCGGAUCCUCAUUGAUCCUCCGAUUGUUACCACCCCCAUCCUCCUGUCCUCCUCCCUCUUCUUUUUCUUUUCCUUCUCCUUUCCUCCUCUUCUCCCUCUCCCUCUUUUUAUCUUUCCACACCUUGAGGAUGAAAAGGAUGCCAGUCUUGAUACUGUCAGAUGACUUACUUUAUUUAGAAGAACAAAUAGAAGUUGAGAAGGACACUAUGCAUUUUUUUUUCAAUUGACAGAGAAUUAAACAUUUGCUACAUUCAAGAUAUCUUUUUGGAGUUGAAUGCAUCAUCUGGCAUCUCAUUUUGUUCUUCUAAUGGAUCUAAGUUCCUUUACUUUCUUUUACUUGUCCAUGAUAAAGUUACAAAUUUAGCAGAUUCCAUACCUACAUUAUCGUCCUCGCUUCUUCAUGUUGAGUCCAAACCAAAGAGUAGGAUCAAGUAAUAUUGUUUAUUCUAUGCUUAUUAGGAUUGAAAUCAGAUCGGAUAUUAACGUAUCCGUAUCUAUAUUUAUUUUGUCUGACGAAUACAAAUACGAAUAUGGAUAUUAUUCGGAUGAAAAAAUUCAUAUCCAUAUUUGUUUUAAAUGGAUACGAAUACAAUUCAAAUACUGAAAGUAUGGAUAUAAUUACAGAUAUAGCUUAGAUAAUUAAAUUUUAUAACUACAGAAUCAAAAAUAUUAUUAAACAUAUGAUAAAUCAAAUUAAUAAUAUAUUUAUAUGUUAUAUAUAUUUUUUUAAAAAAUAAUAAGUGAUAUAUAAAAUUAUAUAGGAUUAUAUGUAGAUUCGAUAUUCAAAUAUGGAUCGGAUAGUUAUUUAUCCAUAUCUAUAUCUAUUUUUUUGACGGAUAUGAAUAUGAAUACGGAUAUUAAUCAGAUCCUGAAAUUUCUAUCCAUAUCGGGAUUGAUCGGAUAUGAAUACAGAUUCUAAUGGAUAAUAUCCAUAUCACUUUCAUCCCUAAUGCUACUGGAUUUUGUAUUCUAUUGUGAAAUCAUCUUGGUAUUCCUUUUAUGGAUGGAUAGCAAGGUCUCUUAAAGAAUAUUAUUGAAAUCAAACUAAAACGACAUAGAGUAUCAAGCUUUUUAGAUCCGAUAUCAUAGGGUGACAGAUCAAGCCUAUCUUCAUUUACAAAUUAAAGUUCCAUCACUCAGGGAUAGUAAAUGAAUUUUAGAGAAAUGCCCAUCUCCUAUAAAAAAAAAAUAUUCAAAAAUAAAUUCUUGUCUUUGACAAAUGAAGUUUCAACAUAGGAACCUGAAAACUAGCUAUAAGAAGAUUCGUCCUUGUGGAAACUUAAUGGCAAAGAGACGGACGUUAAAUUUGAUGAUGCAAUUAGAAGCUUAUUAGGCUAAAUUUAUGAGAGCUCAGAUGGUGAAUGAUUAGGGUAACAAAAAUAGUAUAAUUAUAUUUGUUAAUCUUUUUGACGAUGCUAUGGGUGCAGAAGAUGGAGCUUUUCUCAUCGAUAUAGACCAAAAGCACUUGCCUUUUUAAUUCUUGUUUCCAAUUGGCUAGUAUUUGUGGAAAGAGGAAGAGGGAGAAAAAAAAAGAAAAAAAGAGGGGAAAGAAGAGGAAGAGAAAGGAAGAGGAGAGGAGGAAAUAGACAGUGUUAACAAGGAGGAUGAGGCUGAGGGAAUGGAGGUGGCCAGUGACAGCAAUGGUGAAAGGCCGACUACCAACAGAGGUUGCAUGGUUGUCUCAGAGAGAAGGAUUAGAAGAUUAGAUAGGGUUAAAAUUUAGAGUUCGAAGAUGGAUUUUAUUUAUAAUGGUGAUUGUAAUGAUGGAUUCAAUUGUCAUCAAUUAUAGCUAUAUCAACUGAUAGAUAAGCAUUAUCAAUGAGCAUGAUCUUAAUUAGGAGGAGGUUGUAUAAUAUUAUAAUAAUCUGAAAAAUAUAGAGUCGAUAUUAUAGUAAUAAAAUAUAUAUAGAGAUAUUUGUAAAUUCAUAUAAAAUAUAAAAAAUUAUUUUAUUUAUUUGCUUGAUGAAACCUCUGGUUUCGUAGUUGCAUAUACGUAACAGUUCCAUUCGGGGGAUGAUAACGGCCGGGGCUCACGAGUUUCUGGUGCAGCGCAGGACUGGGCGCUCUCUUACGAGUUCCCAGCUGGCACGUACGCGGAUCCCCAUCCGUAACCAUUAAUAAAACUACGCUCCCCCCGGUUACCCAACCAAAUCAAUACACGUCUCGAAGAGACACCAGCCUGUCCCCCCCUCUGAAAACGUUCUGAAAUUUAAAACUCCUCGACAAACGAACCCAUCUCUUUGCCCAAACUACCCCCCUUCUUAUCCCCCGACUUUCCCAUCCCUAAAACACCCCUACCCACCUCAGGUUGACUUACGGUUGCCCACUUCCCGAUUUAAGGGUAUUGUGGGAAGAAAACAAAUUUUCGUAAAUGUUACAGCCGCUGAUGGCACGCAAAAGCCAGCUGUCUGGUGACCGUUGUGCCCAGACCGCGUCCCCUUUAUGGGCCCCUAAAGCUCCCCUCCUGGCCCACCACCCUUGUCUUCUGUUUCCGCUCGCCUUCAUGAAUUAUUUAAUCAAUAACAUCAUCUCAUAACCCCUAAAGCUCCCCUCCUCACACUAUAUAAACCCCCUUCACGCCAUCCGUUCUCCCAACCCAAAUGCCACUCCCUUCUCUUCGUCUCAAAGAGAAGCGCCUAAUAUAACCCAAGACAUACCCUAUCCUCUUCUCUUCUCUUAUUGUUCUAUACCAAUGGCGUCUUCCAGUAUUAGCCCUUGUUUCCUUUGUAUCUUCUUAGUAGUAGCUUCUCUUCUAUUCCAGUGCUCCUAUGGGGCUAGAAAGCUCAAUGCUUUGGUGGAAGAACCAUCCCCUGUCUUAACCUACCACAAGGGAGCCCUCCUCACGGGACCUAUAUCGGUAAACCUCAUCUGGUACGGUAAGUUCACCGCCACCCAGCGAGCCAUCAUCUCCGACUUCGUCACAUCCCUCUCCUCGAAGGGUGGUGGCCAGAAGCAGCCGGUGCCGUCUGUGUCCACCUGGUGGAAUACCACCGAGAAGUACUACGCCCGGUCGAAGACCAAGUUCCCUACGCUUACCCUCGGCGACCAGAUCCUCGACGAGUCCUACACUCUCGGGAAGUCCCUCACGAACGCCGACAUCGCCAAGCUGGCGAGCCGCGGGGCGCCGAAGUACGCCGUCAACGUCGUACUGACGGCGGAUGACGUCGCCGUCGAGGGCUUCUGCAUGAGCCGGUGCGGGACCCACGGGACCUCACCCCGGUCCAAGUCCGGCCGGUUCGCUUAUAUCUGGGUCGGCAACUCGGCGACCCAGUGCCCGGGCCAGUGCGCCUGGCCCUUCCACCAGCCGGUCUACGGGCCCCAGAGCCCGCCGCUGGUGGCGCCCAACGGCGACGUCGGGAUUGACGGCAUGGUGAUCAACUUGGCGAGCAUGAUGGCCGGGACGGUGACCAACCCGUUCGGUAACGGAUUCUACCAGGGGCCGAAGGAGGCGCCGUUGGAGGUGGCGACGGCGUGCACGGGGGUGUACGCCAAGGGGGCGUAUCCGGGAUACGCCGGCGACUUGUUGGUGGAUCCCACCACGGGGGCGAGCUACAACGCAAAUGGGGCCCACGGGAGGAAGUACCUAGUUCCAGCCUUGUUUGACCCGUCAACGUCCAGCUGCUCUACCUUGGUGUAGUGGGAGUGGUGUGGUGUGUUCUGGGGAUGUAUACGGCUAAAGAGAGCAGUGGAAGAACGGGGAUAUAGAUUGUCUGUAAUUAUUUCAUUCAUUUUCGAAUUACGUUUUUGUUUCAUGUUAUUCAUUUGAUGCUUAAAAUUUAGAUAAUAGAGAUUAAAACCACGGGGAUGGUAGUAGAAUUAACAUUUUUCCAACUUGUGCUUGGCAUAGCCAAGGAGACCACAGGGGUGUACGGUUCUCUUGGUCAUCCUCAACCCACGUGACUGUUCAAGGCCCGAAUCCGGUUCGAUGGUGAGGGGACCUACUCGAUCAUUGUGAUUUGAAUAUAUCUUAUAUGUAUUGGAAUCCUAGAUGAUGAUAUAAUCACGGAAUUUGGUUCUUAGUGGUGGAAGCUUGGUUAGGCCCGGUAGGGCGGUACGUUGCUUCUGGCAGCUUUCGAUCUUCGAAUUAUAAAUAAUAAUUUCAAAAUUUUAAGUUCCGAGGGGUUGGAUUGUCACUUGAAUUUGCAACUUUUGAGAUGGAUUUUUUUUUUUUUUUGGGGUUUCACGCGCUUUUUCUUUCUCCCUUGUUUUUGUCCUUUUUCUUUAUUUUCUUUUGUAUACCCCUUCCAUUAUUUUGGGUUCACCGGCAACCUCCUCUAGUACGGCCGCUUCUCCGCCACCCAACGCUCCAUCGUCGCCUACUUCCACCUCCACCAGUCCCUCCUCCGGCAGCUAGCCACCACCCCUUCCGCCACCUCCUGGUGGAGCACCACCGCCGUCGAUGGCGGCACGGGCCGCCCUCUCCCUCGGCCGCCAGCUCCUCGACGACCACAACGCCAUUGACAAAUCCCUCUUCCCCUCGCCCCUCUCCCUCUCAGAGCCUCUGAAUCCGGCACGUCGUCUGCCGACAUCAACGUCGCCCUCACCUCCGCUGACGUGGCCGGCAACGUCUUCUGCUCGAACCGGGGCGGGACACACCGCCCGUAGUCCGGAUCGAGCGGGUUCAUCUGGAGCGGUGACUUGGUGGUCCAGUGUCUGGGCCAGUGCGCGUGGCCCUUCCAUCGGCCGGUCUACGGCUCCCAGACCCCGCCGUUAGUCACUCCUAACGGCAACGUCGGGAUGGACGGCGUGAUCAUUAGCCUUGCCCGCUGACGCGCCGUUAAAGGCGGCAUCUGCAUGUACGGUGAUAUUUGGGCCAGGGGCUUAUCCUGGAUAUCGGGGCCGGGUUUUGGUGGAUAAGACCAGUGGGCUAAUUAUAACUUGAGAUGGGAAUUUAAAGCCAGACUGAGGCACACAAAUAUUACAUUUUAAACUGAUCCAGUCCAAAGUCCGACUAAAACUGAAUAGAGUUUGGGUCCGAGGCCCGACUAAAUAUGAGUAGAAUUUGAGACCCGAUGACGUCUUAUCAUUCCACCCUCGUAUAGAGAAGAAAGUUGUAAGCGGAGUUAUAUAGUUGCUUUCUCUUAUGAACUUUUCCUUAUUUUUUAACAAAAUAAUUAUCAUGUAAAUGGAAGCACAAUAAGGAUGUUGACCUCCCGUAAUUAAAUGGGCUAGAAUAAUGUUGUAUGAUUGUAACGUUUUCUUGAUCAGGAGAAUUUCAUUUGCACUGCUCUUAACAGUAUCGACGGGUUCCAUAAUUUGAAUCGUAGGGUUUGCUUACCAAAUUAUAAUACUAAGAUCUCCCCUAGGAAUAUUGUCAAAAAGAAGAAAAAAAAAAAAAACUACCCUCGGAACUAUGGGUUUACCACAAGAUGUGUUUGGGCAAGCAUUAUCAACUUUUUUGAACUAAUUCUUAAGUCCCUUUAACUGAGAAAAAAUGGAGAUCUAUUAUUCCAAUUUUUCGUAGCAUUUUUAGCAAUGGGCAGCAUCUAGUGGACAGUGUUAACUAACAUGCCGAUCAAUCUACUCGUGAUGUUUCUCUCGGGUUUUUUUUUUUUUCCUCUCUCUCUUCCCUGAAGAGAGCAUAAAAUUUUGGGAGUAUGAGGUAAAAGCUCUCAUGCAUCUGCCUAUCUCUUUUACUUGGGGGCUUUGAGUUGGAGAAGCUCUGUAAAGUGUUUGGGAAAAUUGGGUGGAACUUGAUUGAUGUGUCAACAUAUUUAGAAUGUCCUAGAAGUGGCAGGAGCAUGUGACUUUUUGUAUGACAGACUAUAUAUACCUUUUCUUUUAUGGCAGCAUAAAUCAGGUGAUAUUAAGUAUCAUUAAAAUAAUUUCAAAGUAUAAAUUUAUAAUUAAAUAAGAAGCUAAUCAGCAUUCAUCAAGGGCCAAAGAAUCAGUGACAAUAUUUUUAUUGCCAAUAAGUUGGUUCAAAACUUUCAUCUUUCUGCUGCUGAUUUUUUAAAAGCCUUUAUUUUUUUUUUACACCAUUGGGUUGGAAUAACAUAAACCAAUCUUUUUUUUCUUUCCUUACAUAACUCCAUGAAUCACUUGUUUCUGAUAUUCAUAUGCCUUACAAUGCUUUGAAGAAAGUGGUGAUCAUAUUCCUGUUAGAUUAAUUAUUAUUUCGUUUGCAUUGAACAUUUUCCAUGGGAGUGGUUAUUAAACUGCAAAUGUUCACCUUGAACUUGCCAAGAGUGUUUCAUAUGUAGAACCUCCUAUGGGGGACAGUUACCAUGCUCUUUGUUGCUUAAAUUUUGUAGACGGUAUGGUUGCAAGGCUUUCUAGUGAAUGGCCUUUCCAUUUCCUAUUUAUCUAGAUCAUACAUUUAUGCUUGCUAUAAAGCAUAUCCUUCUCAUAAAAGCCCAAAAUGCUCUUUCUAAGUUCUACAUCACCAAUGUUUAGCUUUUCUUAUAACAUCUUUUUGUUUACGGUCUUCAGUCUAAUUCACAGCUGUGUUAUAGCUUCUCCGUGAGUGUAAUAGGUAAAAAUUUUUGUCCUAUGGGUGAUUUAAGUAGUGGGGAUCGAGAGGGGUUAUUUAACUUUUGAUGGAUGCACACAGCGAAUUCUAGAUAAAUAUAAUGAUGUAACGAGUACAAGAGGGAAGACAUCGAGGGAAUUCCGCACGGGAUUCGUGUCAAAGGUUGCUGCACACGGGACUUAGUCGCACUAAACAAAAAAAAAAAAAAUACAUCUACCAUUGCAAAGACCACACGCUCACGGAUUUGCACGUGAGAAGUCGCAUGGCUGCUGAAUGAUCCAAUUGCGAGUUAUAUGCACGAAAAUCCAUGCUCCGCCACACCUGUGCAUUAUCUUAGACACCUGUCCCACACGUGUCCCACAGAGUAUGUCGGCAGUCCUGUCUCCUCUUCAGUCUCGUCCCUUUCUCCCUUCAGAAUCGUAAUAUAAUAUGAGCUCGGACCACCACGUGCGACACCAUCCCCUCGCACGCGCGAAAACGCUCCCAUGCCCUUCCCUCUUUUGCUCCUCGUCCUUUAGCCAGCACCCGUCUUUUGACCCGCUCCUUGUCGACUCCAUCACCUUUACAACUGUGUGUGAAUGUGGCACGCCUGACUGCGAUGUAUAUAAAGUUUAGGAUCCUUAAUGACGAUUAGGACCACCCAGGUCCGCCCCUUAAUGAUGCUGGGGUCCAGGCGAGCUUGGCCUUUUCCAUGUCGGCUGAGCUUAUCUUAUAUUAUGUGGAGCAGAAGGCAAAGCUAUGGCUUGCUAGCUUAUACCAUGAAGGUUCUGAUUGUAUCCUAAAAUAUGUGAGACAGAGUACGCACAGAUUCCCCGUGCACCCACGUUUUAAUUUGAUUGUUUGGCCACCUUUGGCUUGGUACCGUUCUUGGUCCAUUGGUGGGAUCAUAUCUUCUUAUUUUUUGGUCUAAUAACCAACUGUAAUGAUGAUGAGAUCUGUUUGCAAUUUUAAUAAAUUGGGUAGCUUUUCCCCCUCCCUUUCCCUUGAAGUAAAAGAUCCCACCAUUAAGUACACACCGUAAGAACAGGCAUUGGUGCAACGUAUCGGCCAGCUUAAUUUGGUUACUUUCUUGGUGGCAAGACCUGUCCGGACUUUAAUAAUUUGCAUUCUAACUAGUUCAAAACAGUUCUAUAAUUUGUCCAAUAUUAUCAUAUUUCAGUGCUACAAACAUUGAAUGCACAGCUUGCUAGCCUAGGCUACCACCCUCAAAUCACGGCAAAAUAUCUGAAGUUUACCAUUGGUUUCGCUACUCAAUUAAUUUAGCUAUUAAUAAUAUAUGCUCUCUAUAUAAAUUUAUGAAAAAUUGGAAUCCGAGAAGAUAGUGGAUGGAGAUGAUGACGAAUAAAAAUAUAUAUUUUUUUUCUUCUGUUGGCUAAUCAUGGAUUCAGAGCUAAAACUAACUGGUCCCCAACAACAUUGUGGUCAUGUUAAGCAUCCAAUGAGCUUCACGAGAUCUAUAGUGUAGAUAUUUAUUUGACCUACAUGACCGUACCACUAAUUAUCUAAAGUUCUUUAGUCUUGGUGCCUCCCAAAGUGAAGACGCUCUUAGCAUCACAAAUCACAGCCUAGCUCGAAGAGAGUGGCAACAAAAAGGAAGAAAAAACGAACGGUUGUUACAUUAAACGAGAUGGUGACGAAGGUACGACACCCUCGCAGAUGUUGGUGCCACGUCUCCCCAUCUGUUUUGUCCCAUGAGGCAAUGAUAAGCAUGGGGAAGAUAAAGGUGUAAAUAGGUCAGCACAAGAGGGCUAUUCUGGUAGUUUCAACACUGGCGUUCUUGUCACACUUCCCUGCUUUCUUUAUCCCUUGGCUGUCACGUCAUCGAUUUCUACCGCCCCGGGUUCUGCGCAAAGGUUGGGGUCUCCUUUCUCGUUCUCCGUGGAGGAGUGGAUGCUGUCACCCCUGACACGUUAGGUGACCCCGUAGAAGGAUUCCCCGACCGGAUCCAAAUCUUAGCCAGCCCGGAACAGAUCCAUUACCCAGGGAACUCCAAGCUGGACAUAAAGAGCUCAUAAGGAAUGCUUAAUUGACAAGUUGAUGGUACCAAAUCAAGGUAUUGCGUCUUUGUGCAGGAGAUGGUAGUCAUACAAUAUGAAAAAAGUUUGUGUUGUGCCAAAUCUUGUUUUGAUAUAAAUCUAAAUCAAUGUGGCUUCAAUCUAAUUUCUUAAGAAGGGUCCCGUAGUUUAAGAAAUUACCAACUAUUUAGUGCUUGGACAAAAAUUAUAUGCCUAGUUACGAUUAAAACAAGUCUAUGUAUUAUGUUCAUCUUAUCUAAUUGUUGUGGCAUUAAUUUUGGACUUUGUAUUUGUUUAAUUAUAAGCUCGAUGCAUCAUGCAUCUUUGUCAUGCAAAUAAGAUGUACGGUAGCUUUGAUAUAUACUAACUCCUUUACAUGUAUUUUUAUGAUUCAUAAAGAUCUAGAUAUUGUGUGUGAUUAUACCUAUACUAAUAUACCAGAUUUCAUUAGACCUUUGCAUAAAAUCUAGACAUGAUCUUAGGAAAAAAAGGCAUUUCAUGUCUUAGUUGAUUCUAAUUUCAAUCAAUUGUUUACAAGAUGCAUGCAAGAAUAUCUAGUGGCCCAAUUCAUUCUAAUAUCUUGGUAAUUUGCUGGUUCACACGUGCACAACUUGUGAAAGAAUAUCUGGCGGCCAAGUGAUCCUAAUAUCUUGACAAUUUACGGAUGAACACCAAAAUAUUAUCGCAUGCAUCCGGCAACCAAAAUAAACCAACUUCAACCCGACCGAAAGACAUGCUCCUCCAUUUCAGUGCGGUGACCAGAUCCCAAAGGCCCCUCCCUACGAACCACCAGUUCCCGGUGCCCCCGUGUCAACCCCUGUUAAAAUAUACCCCCUCUCCGUUAAGUCUACGUCGCUCGCAUUACCGCGGUCUCCAGCUGUUCCCCUCGUCCCCCACUCUCCAUCUCCCCACCCCUACUCCCCACCUCCCUCCCCCUAUAUAAAUGCUUUCGCUUACUCAACUUGCAAGCCACAGUUAAACCCAAAGCCAAGUACCAGCCGUCUAAAACUGCCAGGUUUAAAGCCCUAUGGCUCUCUCACCACUGUUCUCUCUUCUCUCUUUCUUGCUCUUGUUUCACUCCUCCGUGGCCGACCCCAGGAACCUUAUCCUGGUCCAGCAGCAGCCCCUAGUCCUCCAGUACCACAACGGCCCACUCCUCACCGGUAACCUCACCGUCCACCUCCUGUGGUACGGCCGCUUCUCCGCCACCCAGCGCUCCAUCCUUGCCGACUUCGUCAGUUCCCUCUCCCCCGCCUCUGCCUCCUCCCCGCCGGCCCCAUCCACCGCAUCAUGGUGGCGCACCACCGCCCGCUACCGCGCCGCCGCCUCCAGCGUCUCCCUCGGCCUCCAGCUUCUCGACGAGAAGUACUCCCUCGGUAAAACCCUCACCUCCGCCGACCUCGCCACCCUCGCCUCCCGCGCUGGGCCCCACCACGGGGCGGUCGCCGCCGUGCUAACCUCCUCCGACGUCGCCGUCGAGGGGUUCUGCAUGAGCCGGUGCGGGACCCACGCGUCCGCCCCCGCCGCCCGUCUCGGCCGGGCCCGGUUCGCCUAUCUUUGGGUCGGCGACUCGACGGUCCAGUGCCCGGGCCAGUGCGCCUGGCCC
Molecule: long non-coding RNA, 12374 nt
Filed under: Elaeis guineensis (African oil palm)
Lineage: Eukaryota; Viridiplantae; Streptophyta; Magnoliopsida; Arecales; Arecaceae
Description: long non-coding RNA (EGUI_LNC028926)
Source: RNAcentral